CGUCAUCUAUCAACAUAAUGUUAUAUCAGUAUGUCGUCCAUCCUGUAUAUUAAACCUGCACACAACGAGCGCUGCUUCAAGUACAUCGUAUAAGUAGAAGUGUAACCUUGAUGAUAAAAUACUUGUACUGGUUUGUACACUGUUGUUAAAGUGUGUUAUAUAAGGAAAAAACAUUAGAUUACCGUGUAGAAAACAUAUCGACCAUAACUAUUAGGAUUAUUCGAAACCAGCCGUUUUCCCAGUAAUCAUGAAUGUUCUACCAACGGUGUUUUUCAUUCUGGAGUGUUUCCACUUUUUGGGGCAUUUGACCGUGCUUCUUGGAUGGCGCCUUCUUCCUCGUAAGGAUUUGGUUCGCCAGUUUCCCUAUUUCAUAAGCGAUACUUUGACAGUGUUUAUUUCAUACUUCUUUAUUAUACAACAAUUUCAAUGGCUGGCCGUGUUGCAGAUCAUUGAACAUGUCUUCAUCAUUUGUACAUGGGAAAAGCACAGCUGGACGAAAAAGGUUGUUAGUUGGAGUUCUCUGGACUGGAAAGAAAGCCGAAAAGUUCCUGAUGUUGUGUUUGGUACAUUUUUUGAUGUGGUAGUUCAUGGAAUAGAUGCCAUAAUUUUGGCAAGGAUCAUGUCCCUUCAGGAGGUGAUGUUGAGCUGCCUGCUCACCAGUGUUGCCUUUUGCGCUGUAUUCUUCAACUCAAAGUUUGCUUGGAGCAACCCCAAAUCAAUUCCACAGUGGGUAGCAAAAAGGAUCAAGCCUUGUGAAAAGUAUUAACUACCAAUGGAAUAUACAUCUGUUAAAAGUAUUAUUGAGAAAAUUCAUUCUUAUGUAUAAACAAUUUUACUUUGUAAAGCUUAAAAUGAAUUUGCUCAAAGAUAAUUUAGUUAAUUUUCAACAUAGUGUUUUAGAACAGAUAGCCAAAAUCUUUUCGGAAAAAAUGCAGAUUCAUGAUAUCUUAUGUAAAGAUGAAAUUGAGCAGGGUCAACAAAGAAAACAAAUAUAUAAAUGUACAAAUAAAAAGUACGUUUUCAAACAAUAA
This is a long non-coding RNA of Limulus polyphemus (Atlantic horseshoe crab), 1031 nucleotides long. RefSeq lists it as uncharacterized. Lineage: Eukaryota; Metazoa; Arthropoda; Merostomata; Xiphosura; Limulidae. The transcript has 3 exons. The record is from RefSeq and is a predicted model, not a curated record.